RNAcentral lists this ribosomal RNA (791 nucleotides) under uncultured bacterium. Its description in RNAcentral is "bacterial SSU rRNA". It matches the Rfam family "Bacterial small subunit ribosomal RNA", at positions 8 to 796 of the family's 1533-position model. The record is from RNAcentral.
AGAGUUUGAUCCUGGCUCAGAUUGAACGCUGGCGGCGUGCCUAACACAUGCAAGUCGAGCGGUAACAGGUGUAGCAAUACAUGCUGACGAGCGGCGAACGGGUGAGUAAUGCAUUGGAUCUUCCCAGUAGUGGGGAAUAACCAGUCGAAAGAUUGGCUAAUACCGCAUACGUCUGUAAAGGGAAAGCGGGGGCUCGUAAGACCUCGCGCUAUUGGAUGAGCCAAUGUCGGAUUAGCUAGUUGGUGGGGUAAUGGCCUACUAAGGCGACAAUCCGUAGCUGGUCUGAGAGGACGACCAGCCACACCGGAACUGAGACACGGUCCGGACUCCUACGGGAGGCAGCAGUGGGGAAUAUUGGACAAUGGGGGAAACCCUGAUCCAGCGACGCCGCGUGUGUGAAGAAGGCCUGCGGGUUGUAAAGCACUUUUAGUGGGGACAAAAAGCUACGGACUAAUAUUCUGNNNNCUGAUUUAACCCNGAAAAAGCACCGGCUAACUCUGUGCCAGCAGCCGCGGUAAUACAGAGGGUGCGAGCGUNNNNNNGAAUUACUGGGCGUAAAGCGCGCGUAGACGGUUUUGUAAGUCAGAUGUGAAAUCCCUGGGCUCAACCUGGGAACUGCAUUUGAUACUGCAUGGCUAGAGUAUCGAAGAGGGAAGUGGAAUUUCCGGUGUAGCGGUGAAAUGCGUAGAUAUCGGAAGGAACACCAGUGGCGAAAGCGACUUCCUGGUCGAAUACUGACGUUCAUGUGCGAAAGCGUGGGGAGCAAACAGGAUUAGAUACCCUAGUAGUCC